This is a long non-coding RNA of Marmota monax (woodchuck), 2062 nucleotides long. RefSeq lists it as uncharacterized. The record is from RefSeq and is a predicted model, not a curated record. NCBI's taxonomy places the organism in Eukaryota, Metazoa, Chordata, Mammalia, Rodentia, Sciuridae. The transcript is spliced from 4 exons.
UGAAAAACUAUGCCUGGAACCAUAGUUAGACAAAUAAUUGAUUCUCAAAUAAAAAUUUGGACUCCAUUAGUCCUGUCACCAUUGAUAAAAUUGAACCUCUAAAUGGAACAAAGAAAAAAAUGAUUAUAUGGAAAUACAGCUUCAUCAGAACUAGCAAGCUAUUUUAUGGAGGAUGUCAGAAGACAAACAAGUCAGCUCCUUCACCUCCUUCCUGUGCUUCCUGGCAACCAUGAACAAUAGAGCAGUGCCCCUCCACCAUGUCCUUCUGCCACAUCUUGUGGUCAGAGCAAUGCCAUUGGCCAACCCAUGGACUAAACUUCUGAAACUGAAGAAGUUUCCCGUCUCCUGCCUGGAGUAAUUUUACUUUUCCAUCAGAAUCACAAGAGCAGUAUAGACUAUCAACACUACUGGGGAAGAAUUCAUUGUCUUUUUCAUCAAUUGUCAUACUUGUAUUAGUUUUCAACUGCUGAUGUAACAAAUGGCCGCAUGUUUAGUGUAUACAAAAUAUACACUUAUUAUCUUCAAUUCUGUUAAUCAAUUGUCUUACAUAGUCUAACAGGGCUAAAAUUGAAGAAUCAGCAAGUGCUCUGUUUCUCUAUGCAGUCUGUAGAAGAGAAUUUACUUCCUUGUCUUUCCCAGCUGCUAGAGGCCCUGCAUGUCUUUUACUUUUGGUUUGCUCCCUAUCUCUUUAAAGCUACCAGCAUUGAGUCAUGUCCUUCUCAUUCUGACCUUUUCUUUUCUGUCCACCUACUUUUAAAGACACUUGCAAUUAGGUCAAGCCCACUUAAUAAUACAGGGUAAUAUUUUCUAUAUUGAUAUGAGUUGAUUAACAGCCUUAAUUCUAUCUUCAACCUUAAUUCUCCUUUGUGAUUUAAGUAACAUCUACACAAAUUAUGAGUAUUAGGAUAUGGUCAUUUUUUUAGGGGACAUCAUUCUACUUAUUACAAUGCCUAAAAUACUUAGCAUAAUUAGUACUAAUUAAAAAUUUUCCUUAGAAGUGAAGAAAUGAAUGAAUAAAACCGAUAGAGUUGGUAUAUCUUUUUGGUAGGAAAUUUUACCAAUAUUUUUAAUUUUCAAAAACACUUUUAACAACAAUGACUGUGGAAGUUUUAUUUUUAAUGCAUUUUGAGUAUUCUAUGUUAUUAUCAUUAUUUGUCUUAUGGAAUCUAGAAAUGAGUUAAUGGAUUAUUAAGCCAUUGUGCUUUGUGGCCUAGUCAUUUUGUGUGUGUGUGUGAUUUCUUGAAGAUGCUUGCAUGUUGAUAUUGUCACCAAACUCAGGUUUGGAAGUUCAUCCCAUGAGAAAAAACAAUGCCCAAGAGACAAGUAUUGGGGACAAAGGUAAAAGACUUUAUUGAGGAUGCUGGCAACCUGGAAGGAGACAGACAUUACAAUGCCUUUUAACUUUUGGGAAGUGGAGAAUAUUUAUAUGAGGAUCAGGUUAGGGCAACUUGUAAAAUUUAGCAUUUCCCUGGAACUUUAGUCAGGAAGUCGGGUGGUUUGGCACCUUCCACAGGUGAUGAAACAUUGUGAUAGCAUUUUCUUACCUUGGGGACAGUAUGUUCCCAUUUGGGGUGAGGGGCCUAUUUUAGAAUCAGCUCAUAAAAACAAGCAAGACUACAGGAAUGCAUGGUGGCAUAGGCCAUAGUCUGAAAAUGGAAAUGGAACAGGAAAAGAGUAAAAAACUGGGGAACAAUUUUACCUUGUUAUGCAGCUUUGAUCAGAGAUGUCAUUUGCAGUAAAGCUAAUGGGAGAAUAAUAAUAUAUUAUUUAGUUAUAUGGCCUCCAAAAUUAGUGAUUCUUAAAGUCAACUAAAAGCAAGUUAAGCCAGAGGGAUUUUUUUAGGUUUCAACUCUGUUACAAUAAGACACCUGUGAUUUGGAUUUUAAUAUCAUUGAAAUAAGUUUAAUUAGGUUUAUUCACUUAACAUAAAAUGAUACUAAUAGCUUACAUAUGAUAAAUGUUUAUUAUCUUCCCCAUACUGAGAUAACUUAUAAAUGCUGUAUUUUUUUUCUAACUGUCCUAUCUGUCCUAUCAGUUUGUUUUGUGUAAAAUUUUAUGAUCA